GCAAGGGCGAGCGUCGUUCUCAUUCUAGAGAGAGCUCAAUUUUCAAGGCAAAAUCCUCAGACCUGGGUGGCAGGCGACGAGCGCCAUCCCACCACUAGCCUGUGGUGGACCUCUGCAAGGAGUCGCAGCGACAAUGCUUAGACCCUGAGACAGGGUGAAGAAAAGGAUGCAGGUACGUCUCUUGGCUCGGCAUUUAGGACGUACCCUAGGAGGGGGCGGCCCUCAACGGGGAGACAGGAUGCUUCGCAGGCUUACAAGCGGAGGCUGCGGCCCGGGGGAAUCGGCGGCCAAAGCGCCGCAGGAGGUCGGAUCCGGUCCGGGUCCGGGUCGGCGGGGCGGGGCGGGGCAGGGCGGGAAUGCUGCGACCGGAGCCCCGGACGGAGGCCGUUCCCUUGCCCUCGGGCCGCCGGCUGCUUGGCUCCGGGCCCAGCCCCUCCCCCCGAUCCUGUUCCGAAGGCUUGGAGAGCCUGUGGCUGCGGGUGUGCUGUCAACAAAGCGUCACUUCCGGGCCGCCCCUUAGCAGCAGAGGAGGGGUUCUCUCGUCUUGUCCCGCCGCGAACGUGGGCGGAGGCGGCUGAAGGUUCCGGGUUCUCUGGGCUGCUCCUGCCCAAGCUGAGGCCCCAGUCUCCACGUUAGCUUCCAGGGUUCCUUCUAGCGAGGGGCUAACUCGCAGGAGCAGGUUCAGGACAGGAUUGACUCCAUCUUACCUAGUUAGUGCUGACUCACCCGGUGCCCAACCCGACGUCUUUUGGGCGGUCUCUAAGCAGCCACCACAUUGCCCCUCAAAAUGUGCUCCUCCUUCUUUCCUUCACGAAAAGGGCCAUUCACCCAGGAGCUGUCAGAUAGCAGGAGUGAGGCUGUUCUUGGCCACUGCGUUUUCUUCUAGUCACCAAGGAUCUCUUAACAGUUGUUUCUCUCUUCCUCCAAUAGUGCCCUACUGUCCAUCAUUUUAUCUUUCAAAAAUAUUAUUUUAAUUAUGUACAUAAGUGUAUAUGUGCUUAUGCACGUGACGGCAGCUGCCUGCUGAGGACAAUAGCCCCGGAGCCCAUGAAGCUGAAGUUACAGGUAGUUGUAAGCCCCACAAACGUAGGAACCGAACAAGCUCUCUGGUCUAUACUUCCUUUUCAUUUUAAGAUUUUUUUCCCAUUUAUUUAUAUGUGUGCAUGCAUAUGCACAUGUGCAGGAGAUCAGAGCACUGUUGGCUGGAGAGGGUUCUCUACACCAGCCACGUUGGUUUCAGGGAUCAAAUUCAGUCCUCACCAUGCUUGUACCAAGCACCCUUACAUGCUGGGCCAUCUCACUGGCCCCAUCACCAUUUCUUCUCUUGAUUUCUACCAUAGCCUCCGAACACAAAUCCCUUCGUUCCUUCUGCAGUCUCACAAUCAGGGCAUCCAGACUUUUCAUCUACCUUCUCUCCUUACCCAGUCCCUCAGUAAAUUGUUUCCUUCUGGUCUCCUGUCCAGAACGUUCACAGUUGAAAUCAGUGUGGGCUCUUUGCAUCUCUGUCAUUCUAAGCUCAAACAAUCAGGCAGUAGGCUUAAACAUUUUUCUUACUGCCCUCCACAUCUGGUAAACUAACAACACUUUUUGCUUAAGGAAUGCCCUGGAGUGAGGUUAGAGAGAAAGAAGGGAGGGGAUGUGGAGGCUCAAACCCAGGUCCUGUGGCAGACAGGAAUUCUAUCAUUGAGCGCGCGCACACACACACACAAAAUACUAUACAUACACCUUAAUCUUAGCACUCAGGAAGCAGAGAUAGGCAGAUUCCGUUAGUUUAAGCUAGUUCCAUGACAGCCAAAACUACACAAAAUAACCAUGUCUCUAAAACAAAAAACAAAACAAGAAAAGGAGAAAAAAUAAAAGAAAAGAGAAAGUAGAUACCUUAAGUAGGAAGGUAAAUAACUCAAAAUAGGUUCAGGAAGUCCCUGAAACUAACCAGAUUCACUAAGACCCUCCCUGCCAGAGAAAAGAAUAAAAAGUUGAGAGUUCUUAGUCAAGCUGAGCUGCAAAGAAGAUACUGAGACCAGACCAGCUACAUGUAAGAAGAGGAAACAAGCUGAGCUGCCUAUGAGAGAUUUAGACCACAGUCAGGUGGAAAGUACAUUUCCCAGUCUGUUUAGCUCUCUGCAGACUAUGCUCUGUGCUAUAGGUUUCCAGCUUUUCUGAACUGUCAUCUUCGCAGAGAUGUGCCUUGGUCAUGCCACUGUCUUUGAGUCAUUUCUGUUCCUGUAAGUAAUACCAAUAAAACUCACUAGCUCACC
Molecule: long non-coding RNA, 2258 nt
Filed under: Mus musculus (house mouse)
Lineage: Eukaryota; Metazoa; Chordata; Mammalia; Rodentia; Muridae
Description: long non-coding RNA chr2:30124071-30126329
Source: RNAcentral